Molecule: ribosomal RNA, 301 nt
Filed under: uncultured bacterium
Lineage: Bacteria
Description: partial 16S ribosomal RNA
Rfam family: Bacterial small subunit ribosomal RNA
Source: RNAcentral
CAGCCGCCGCGGGAAUACAGAGGGUGCGAGCGUUAAUCGGAAUUACUGGGCGUAAAGGGCGCGUAGGCGGUUAGGAAGGUGUGAUGUGAAAGCCCUGGGCUUAACCUAGGAAGUGCAUCGCAAACCAACUAGCUGGAGUAUAAGAGAGGGUGGCGGAAUUUCCGGUGUAGCGGUGAAAUGCGUAGAGAUCGGAAGGAACGUCAAUGGCGAAGGCAGCCACCUGGCUUAAUACUGACGCUGAGGCGCGAAAGCGUGGGGAGCGAACAGGAUUAGAUACCCCCGUAGUCCCUGUCUCUUAUAC